Molecule: ribosomal RNA, 504 nt
Filed under: uncultured bacterium
Lineage: Bacteria
Description: partial 16S ribosomal RNA
Rfam family: Bacterial small subunit ribosomal RNA
Source: RNAcentral
GACGAACGCUGGCGGCGUGCUUAACACAUGCAAGUCGAACGGUGAAGCGCUUGCCUUUUUGGUGGGUGUGGAUGAGUGGCGAACGGGUGAGUAACACGUGAGUAACCUGCCCUCUUCUUCUGGAUAACCUCAUGAAAGUGGGGCUAAUACGGGGUAUUCCGGGUCUGUCGCAUGGCGGGUUUGGGAAAGAUUGCGCCUUUGGGUGUUUUCGGUGGGGGAUGGGCUCGCGGCCUAUCAGCUUGUUGGUGGGGUGAUGGCCUACCAAGGCGGUGACGGGUAGCCGGCCUGAGAGGGUGGACGGCCACACUGGGACUGAGACACGGCCCAGACUCCUGCGGGAGGCAGCAGUGGGGAAUAUUGCACAAUGGGCGCAAGCCUGAUGCAGCGACGCCGCGUGAGGGAUGGAGGCCUUCGGGUUGUGAACCUCUUUCGCCAGGGAAGCAGGCCUGCUCCUGUGUGGGUGGGUUGACGGUAGCUGGAUAAGAAGCGCCGGCUAACUACGUG